CUAACCUAAAACAAUGAAAGCCCUUCCUCUCUCCCAUCAAUACGGUUCCUAGACCGCGCCUGUGAGAAUCAGGUUUAGACUUAAACA
Molecule: small RNA, 87 nt
Filed under: Bacillus sp. MUM 13
Lineage: Bacteria; Bacillati; Bacillota; Bacilli; Caryophanales; Bacillaceae
Also listed under: 1 other name
Description: BsrC
Rfam family: BsrC
About the family: The 301 nucleotide sequence from Kouji Nakamura has been trimmed to a highly conserved ~85 nucleotide long core to form this family.
Source: Rfam by way of RNAcentral